RNAcentral lists this long non-coding RNA (1636 nucleotides) under Gossypium barbadense (sea-island cotton). Its description in RNAcentral is "long non-coding RNA (GBAR_LNC004853)". The record is from RNAcentral. Lineage: Eukaryota; Viridiplantae; Streptophyta; Magnoliopsida; Malvales; Malvaceae.
GGAGAUCUGUCAAUGGCCCUGACUUUCGCACUCGAAAAUGGAGGAAAGAUAAGAACGGAGUCUUCCAGAAACAGUUCAAUAUUCAGUUUUCUACAAAACAUUGGUAGGAGACAGAUGGACUAUGGGAAGAUGGAAAGAGGAAACAGAGUAGUAAGUAGGCAUCAGCCUUCAAGUAGCCAACUCCCUACUCUGUCUCAUAUACACAUUGAAGAAAUAUCAAGGGGUGCACAAAAGUUAAAUCAGAUCCUCCGGGCCUGCUCUAAUGGUCUCAACUUUGACAGAUACUCGAUAGAAAUUGGACAGGAGCUGUUGAAAGGAGCAAUGGAUUUGCAAGAGUCUCUAAAGUUGCUUGUCGGCAUGCAGGAAGCUUCGGAUUACUUGAUAACACCACAGAGAAAAAGUCGGUUAACAUUGCUAGAGGAGGAUGAAGAUGAUGAUGAGAAUACCAUCACAAUAGCUGACCAGAAGCAACUGAGUAGACCAAGAUUUUCUUUUGAUAGACCCUCAAGAAAGUAUAAUGACAUUCAAGAAGUUGCAAAGACAGAACUUAAGCUGAGGCUGGCAGCUCUUACCUAUUCUACAGAUGUUCCUAAUUCGAAGCAUGAGAAGAAAGGUUUAGGUGCCUCAAAUUUACGUUCUCACAAGCGAUCAGUUAGCUGUGGUACUGAUGUUAAAACUCUUAGUGUAUUCUCAGAACAAAAUCACUCAAGUUCACCGCAGUCCAAACAAGAAAAGUCAAGAAUUCCAAAUGUAAUCGCAAGACUAAUGGGGAUUGAAGAACUUCCAGGAAAUGUAGAUUCAAAGGUCAGCACAAAAAAGGAGUCUGGAAAUCAAAAAUUAGAAGGGACAACUACAAAGAAACCUGCAAAGGGGAGUACCAAGAAGGCUGAACAAAGGGAAAAAGAUUCCACAACCUCAGUUCUCCCACCAGCAAAACAGAAGGCAACACUACCCAGCAAGAUUCCACUGGUUCAGGAUACAGUUACAUCACAAGCAGGAAAGACGUUGGCAACUAGAAAUGGCAGCACAAGGGUUGAUGUUCAUGACAAGUUACCACCUCGAAAGGACUUGGAAGAUGUAAAACCAGUGAUAAGCCUGAGAAAAGGCAUGAUUAAGGUAGACAAACGACAAAGUGACUCUGCCCAACUAAAUCAUAAUUCUGGAAGUAGAAAAGAAAUUCAGGAGAGAAACCAUGAUAGCAUAAAGCACAGGGAGCAGAAGUACACUGAAAGAAGUGAAAUCAAGGGACCAGUUUUCAAGGAUGAGAUGCAACAGAUGAUACCAUAUAUGCAUAAAAGAUCAGAAUCUACACUUACAUUGCUAGAAAAGCCAGAGUACGGUGAAAGCAUGCUUCAUGGGGAAAAUAGUUCUGCUAACAAGCUUCGUCUAGGCAAUCAACAAAAGCUGCAAAAUAAUCAUGGAUUUCAACAGGUGCACAUGCUCCAGAAAUCUGAGCCUCAAGAGAAAAAGCGUCAACCAGAAGAAAGAGAACAAGAAAAACAGAAAUUGCAGGAGAAGAAACAAAAGAGACCUGAAUCAGUAUCUAGCAAUAUCUCCAAACUAAUGUCUGGUGCAACCGAUUUGCAAAAGAAGCAGCUGCAACUGAACCAAGCAGCAACUAGUAGGAAAGGCUCCA